UUACCAGGCCUUGACAUGCAGAGAACUUUCCAGAGAUGGAUUGGUGCCUUCGGGAACUCUGACACAGGUGCUGCAUGGCUGUCGUCAGCUCGUGUCGUGAGAUGUUGGGUUAAGUCCGUAACGAGCGCAACCCUUGUCCUUAGUUACCAGCACGUUAUGGUGGGCACUCUAAGGAGACUGCCGGUGACAAACCGGAGGAAGGUGGGGAUGACGUCAAGUCAUCACGGCCCUUACGGCCUGGGCUACACACGUGCUACAAUGGUCGGUACAAAGGGUUGCCAAGCCGCGAGGUGGAGCUAAUCCCAUAAAACCGAUCGUAGUCCGGAUCGCAGUCUGCAACUCGACUGCGUGAAGUCGGAAUCGCUAGUAAUCGUGAAUCAGAAUGUCACGGUGAAUACGUUCCCGGGCCUU
This 411-nucleotide ribosomal RNA is filed under the name uncultured Pseudomonas sp. RNAcentral describes it as "bacterial SSU rRNA". It matches the Rfam family "Bacterial small subunit ribosomal RNA", at positions 971 to 1382 of the family's 1533-position model. Lineage: Bacteria; Pseudomonadati; Pseudomonadota; Gammaproteobacteria; Pseudomonadales; Pseudomonadaceae. The record is from RNAcentral.